RNAcentral lists this ribosomal RNA (433 nucleotides) under uncultured bacterium. RNAcentral's name for it is "partial 16S ribosomal RNA". It matches the Rfam family "Bacterial small subunit ribosomal RNA", at positions 29 to 507 of the family's 1533-position model. The record is from RNAcentral.
AACGAACGCUGGCGGCAUGCCUAACACAUGCAAGUCGAACGAGACCUUCGGGUCUAGUGGCGCACGGGUGCGUAACGCGUGGGAACCUGCCCUUAGGUUCGGAAUAACUCCCCGAAAGGGGUGCUAAUACCGGAUAAUGUCUUCGGACCAAAGAUUUAUCGCCUUUGGAUGGGCCCGCGUUGGAUUAGCUAGUUGGUAGGGUAAAAGCCUACCAAGGCGACGAUCCAUAGCUGGUCUGAGAGGAUGAUCAGCCACACUGGGACUGAGACACGGCCCAGACUCCUACGGGAGGCAGGAGUGGGGAAUAUUGGACAAGGGGCGAAAGCCUGAACCAGCCAUGCCGCGUGAGUGAUGAAGGCCUGAGGGUUGUAAAGCUCUUUUACCCGGGAUGAUAAUGACAGUACCGGGAGAAUAAGCUCCGGCUAACUCCGUG